UACGGAGGAUCCAAGCGUUAUCCGGAUUUAUUGGGUUUAAAGGGUGCGUAGGCGGGCUGAUAAGUCAGAGGUGAAAUCCUGCAGCUUAACUGUAGAAUUGCCUUUGAUACUGUUAGUCUUGAGUAUACAUGAAGUGGGCGGAAUGUGUCAUGUAGCGGUGAAAUGCAUAGAUAUGACACAGAACACCGAUAGCGAAGGCAGCUCACUAAACUAUAACUGACGCUGAUGCACGAAAGCGUGGGGAUCAAACAGG
RNAcentral lists this ribosomal RNA (253 nucleotides) under uncultured bacterium. Its description in RNAcentral is "partial 16S ribosomal RNA". It matches the Rfam family "Bacterial small subunit ribosomal RNA", at positions 524 to 776 of the family's 1533-position model. The record is from RNAcentral.